Long non-coding RNA from Astyanax mexicanus (Mexican tetra), 3619 nucleotides. RefSeq lists it as uncharacterized. The record is from RefSeq and is a predicted model, not a curated record. Lineage: Eukaryota; Metazoa; Chordata; Actinopteri; Characiformes; Acestrorhamphidae. The transcript has 3 exons.
UCCCAUUGCUGGCAGCUCUUCAGUACUGAAGAGCUCUGUGACUGUCACAGUUUGUGACAGUUCGUGAACUUCUACCCUGGUAGAGCUGCCCUAAUCAACUGUAAGUAGAUCUGUUAUUAUUGUGCAUCUUAUAACAUCUUAUAGGAGCAACAACAGCUCAGCCAUGAAGCAGCAGAUCACGAAAAGUCACAGUUUGGAAGCAUAAACACAGCAAAGAGUGUCAAGAGUUUCCUAAAAUUAUAUUCCUGGACUGUGUAGAUUAACUUAACUUAACUUAAUUUAAUUUAAUAUUAUUUUGCACAAUUUCUUUAGUCUCAAAUAAGAUGGUUUUACCAAUCAUCAAUUACUACAUUUAUGAAAUCCCUAGAAAAGUGCAUUACUUUAAGUAAAUGCAGGAUGGUUGCACAGCUAAAAUGGCUCCUGUCGUUCACUAUGGUGAAUGUAAUGGUGUUGCUAAGUGGUUGCUAGGCAGUUGCUAAGGUGAUUGCUAAGGUGUUGACGAGUGGUUGCUAAGGUGCUGCUAGGUGGUUGCAAAGGUGUUGCUAUGGUAUCCUCAUUGGUUGCUAUUUUGUUUCUAAGGGGUUGCUAGGUGGUUGCUAUGGUGGUUGCUAUGGUGUUGCUUGGGUGUCUGGGGUUGUUGCUAAGGUGUUCCUAUGUGGUUGCUAAGGUGUUGCUAUGGUAUAUGUGGUGAUUGUUUUAUUGUUUCUGUGGUAUCUUUGGUGGUUGCUGUGGUCUUGCUUUGGUGUCUAUGGUGGUUGCUAAGGUGUUACUAAGUGGUUGCUAAGGUGCUUCUAGGUGGUUGCUAAGGUGUUGUUAGGUGGUUGCUAAGGUGUUGUUAUGGUAUCUGCGGUUGUUGCUAAGGUGCUGCUAGGUGGUUGCAAAGGUGUUGCUAUGGUUUCCGUGGUGGUUGCUAUAUUAUUUCUAAGUGGUUGCUAAGGUGUUGCUAUGGUAUCUGUUGUGGUUGCUAUAUUGUUUCUCUGGUGUCUGUGGUGGUUGCUAUGGUCUUGCUUUGCUGUCUAUGGUGGUUGCUAAGGUGUUACUAAGAAGUUGUUAGGUGGUUGCUAAGGUGCUGCCAGGUGGUUGCAAAGGUGUUGCUGUGGUAUCUGUGGUGGUUGCUAUAUUGUUUUUAAGUGGUUGCUAAGCUGUUGCUAUGGUAUCUGUCGUGGUUGCUAUGUUGUUUCUAUGGUGUCUGUGGUGGUUGCUAUGGUCUUGCUUUGGUGUCUAUGGUGGUUGCUAAGGUGUUACUAAGGGGUUGCUAGGUGGUUGCUAAGGUGCUGCCAGGUGGUUGCAAAGGUGUUGCUAUGGUAUCCGUGGUGGUCGCUAUAUUGUUUUUAAGUGGUUGCUAAGGUGUUGCUAUGGUAUCCGUGGUGGUUGCUAUAUUGUUUCUGUGGUGUCUUUGGUGGUUGCUGUGGUCUUGCUUUGGUGUCUAUGGUGGUUGCUAAGGUGUUACUAAGUGGUUGCUAAGGUGCUUCUAGGUGGUUGCUAAGGUGUUGUUAGGUGGUUGCUAAGGUGUUGUUAUGGUAUCUGUGGUUGUUGCUAAGGUGUUGCUAGGUGGUUGCAAAGGUGUUGCAUAUGGUAUCCGUGGUGGUUGCUAUAUUGUUUCUGUGUUGUCUGUGGUCGUUGCUAUGUUCUUGCUAUGGUGUCUAUGGUGGUUGCUAAGGUGUUACUAAGUGGUUGCUAGGUGGUUGCUAAGGUGCUGCUAGGUGGUUGCAAAGGUGUUGCUGUGGUAACCUCAUUGGUUGCUAUUUUGUUUCUAAGGUCUUGCUGUGUGGUUGCUAAGAUGUUGCUAUGGUAUCUGUGGAUGUUGCUAAGGUGUUGCUAGGUUGUUCAUAAGUUGUUGCUAUGGUAUCCAUGGUGGUUGCUAUAUUGUUUCUGUGGUGCCUGUGGUGGUUGCUAUAUUGUUUCUGUGGUGUCUGUGGUGGUUGGUAAUGGUCUUGCUUUGGUGUCUAUGGUGGUUGCUAAGGUGUUACUAAGUGGUUGCUAGGUGGUUGCUAAGGUGCUGCCAGGUGGUUGCAAAGGUGUUGCUUAUGGUAUCCAUGGUGGUUGCUAUAUUGUUUCUGUGGUAUCUGUGGUGGUUGCUUUGGUCUUGCUUUGGUGUCUAUGGUGGUUGCUAAGGUGUUACUAAGGUGCUGCUAGGUGGUUGCAAAGGUGUUGAUAUGGCAUCCAUGGUGGUUGCUAUAUUAUUUCUAAGUGGUUGCUAAGGUGUUGCUAUGGUAUCUGUGGUGGUUGCUAUAUUGUUUCUGUGGUGUCUGUGGUGGUUGCUAUGGUCUUGCUUUGGUGUCUAUGGUGGUUGCUAAUUUGUUGCUAAGGUAUCUGUGGUUGUUGCUAAGGUGUUGCUAGGUGGUUGCAAAGGUGUUGCUUAUGGUAUCCGUGGUGGUUGCUACAUUGUUUCUAAGUGGUUGCUAAGGUGUUGCUAUGGUAUCCGUGGUGGUUGCUAUAUUGUUUCUAAGUGGUUGCUAAGGUGUUGCUAUAGCAUUGUUUAGCCCUAUAAAGGGGUUAUCUGCUCUUAGUCUUUCUUAAGCAUAGACAGUUCUAUGUUAAUACAACACAUUAUCUUAUUGCCUGUGUUUAUCUCUCGUUUUUGACCUUGAACAAAAAAAUACCUACCCUAGUAUGAUAGCUCUUUGUUAUUGUUGUUUGCUAUUGUUGACCCUUUUCUGUUUGACCAUCCCUUUGUCUAAUACUUUUGCAAAUAAAGUAUAUAUUUAUCUGCCUCUGCGUGUGCCUGAAUUCUGACCAGCCAUGACAGAACGAGCAAUUAAUUUUACAAAUUUAUUUGACCGUUUUAAUAUAUUCUCUACGUCUAUGAGCUCUUGGGUUUGCAAACUUUAUCUAAAAAUAAUUGUAAAAAAGCUAAACAGCACAAUUGAGUUUUCCUAGACUUAAAGAGUGUGUCAGUGUCAGCUAUGGGUUUAACCUUAUGUAGUUGAAUGUGUCUUUUAGAGAGGGUGGUCCUCAAAUAUUGGGACGUAAAGUGGAAGUGUUAGCGAUUGCUUAGCACUUGUAGGAAGUGCAGCGGUGUCAAAAAAAAAACAAAAACAGCUACCCUAAAGCAACUUUGUUAUCUGAUGUAGAUCAGGCCUCCAUUAACACAUCUGUCAGUUACACUGGGGUUUUCCACCGUCUGAUAUUUAUCAGUUUGUGCAUUCUAGAACACUAAUAGUCUCGUCAGUGAUCCCUCACUUCACUCGUCUGUGAGUUUAAUGGUAUUAAAGGGCUGGUUUUGUUGUGAUGAGUGUGAGUUGGCAGCAUGUGCGCUAGUAUUGUAGCUUGUAUGUAAACUCGUAUCUUAUUAAACUCAUCUUUUAGCUGACAAAUAACUUCUCUCUCUCUCACUCUCUUUCUUUUCCUGACACACACACACACACAUGAAAAGCACAACCCCAACCGCACCUAUUAAUAGUAUUGCUGCUGGGUGGAAAAAAAAAGAUGCUGUUGAGUUCUGUUGAGUGAGUUUAACCUGCUAUACACACAUAUUCAGUAAUAACUGUGUUAUAAAUACUAUAUUACUGAUUGGUGGCGUAUUUUUACUACAUAUACAAUAUGGACACAUACUGUAUAUGGAACUAGAUAUUUCUAAAUACUGUAUCAAUUAUAAAUCCUUUAUGAAGAUGGCUGG